CCUACGGGAGGCAGCAGUGGGGAAUAUUGGGCAAUGGAGGAAACUCUGACCCAGCGACGCCGCGUGCGGGAUGAAGGCCUUCGGGUUGUAAACCGCUUUCAGCAGGGAAGAAGCGAAAGUGACGGUACCUGCAGAAGAAGCACCGGCUAACUAUGUGCCAGCAGCCGCGGUAAUACAUAGGGUGCAAGCGUUGUCCGGAAUUAUUGGGCGUAAAGAGCUCGUAGGUGGUUCGUCACGUCGGAUGUGAAAAUCUGGGGCUUAACCCCAGACCUGCAUUCGAUACGGGCGAGCUUGAGUAUGGUAGGGGAGUCUGGAAUUCCUGGUGUAGCGGUGGAAUGCGCAGAUAUCAGGAGGAACACCAAUGGCGAAGGCAGGACUCUGGGCCAUUACUGACACUGAGGAGCGAAAGCGUGGGGAGCGAGCAGGAUUAGAUACCCUGGUAGUCCACGCCGUAAACGGUGGGCACUAGUUGUGGGGACCUUCCACGGUCUCUGCGACGCAGCUAACGCAUUAAGUGCCCCGCCUGGGGAGUACGAUCGCAAGAUUAAAACUCAAAAUGAAUUGACGG
RNAcentral lists this ribosomal RNA (568 nucleotides) under uncultured bacterium. RNAcentral describes it as "bacterial SSU rRNA". It matches the Rfam family "Bacterial small subunit ribosomal RNA", at positions 338 to 916 of the family's 1533-position model. The record is from RNAcentral.